This 484-nucleotide ribosomal RNA is filed under the name uncultured bacterium. RNAcentral describes it as "partial 16S ribosomal RNA". It matches the Rfam family "Bacterial small subunit ribosomal RNA", at positions 899 to 1397 of the family's 1533-position model. The record is from RNAcentral.
ACUCAAAGGAAUUGACGGGGGCCCGCACAAGCAGCGGAGCGUGUGGUUUAAUUCGAGGCUACACGAAGAACCUUACCUGGGUUUGACAUCAUGGUAGUAGUGAAGCGAAAGCGGAACGACCUUCGGGAGCCAUGACAGGUGCUGCAUGGCUGUCGUCAGCUCGUGUCGUGAGAUGUUCGGUUAAGUCCGAAAACGAGCGCAACCCCCGGGUCUAGUUACAAGUGUCUAGACCGACUGCCCGUGACAAACGGGAGGAAGGUGGGGAUGACGUCAAGUCAGCAUGGCCUUUAUAUCCAGGGCUACACACACGCUACAAUGGCCGGUACAAUAGGUAGCGAAGCCGCGAGGCGGAGCCAAUCCACCAAAGCCGGUCGUAGUUCGGAUUGCAGGCUGCAACUCGCCUGCAUGAAGCUGGAGUUGCUAGUAACCGCAGGUCAGCUAUACUGCGGUGAAUACGUUCCCGGGCCUUGUACACACCGCCCGU